CUGCUGCCUCCCGUAGGAGUCUGGUCCGUGUCUCAGUACCAGUGUGGGGGGACCUUCCUCUCAGAACCCCUACGCAUCGUCGGUUAGGUGGGCCGUUACCCCGCCUACUGCCUAAUGCGCCGCAUGCCCAUCCCUGUCCGGCCGAAGCCUUUCCUGCCUCCGGGAUGCCCCGGUGGCAUGUACGCGGGUUUACGCCCGCCUUUCGGCGGGUUGUCCCCCUGACAGGGGCAGGUUGCAUACGUGUUACUCACCCGUGCGCCGUCGCCGGNGGAGAAA
RNAcentral lists this ribosomal RNA (276 nucleotides) under uncultured bacterium. RNAcentral's name for it is "partial 16S ribosomal RNA". The record is from RNAcentral.